GCUGCAACAAGUUUACAACAGAAAAGCGCGGUUAUCGGCCGUUCGCUAUGUUGGUACAAUCACUUUCGCGAUGUUUCGUGUGACUACGUACCGCUGGACGCGUUGGUGCCUGUGGGCGGCAUUGUUCAGGACAUCGUGUAACUAAAUUAAGACAGCGUGCUUAGCACUACGCCAAGAAUGCCUGCAGGAGCCGACGCAUUCGGUACUAGUCACGUUAAAUCUCGCGAAAGUGAUUAUAUGCCCGAAAACGAACGAUCAAAAACAGGGGAUAGAGUUCCAAACGAGAGCACAAUCCCGUAAGGUAGCCACGCUUCCAAAGGGAUCGCGGCCGAUCGGUAUUGAAAUUGACCCGUGUGACCGAGGGUGUAACUGCCGUCGGAAACCCAAGAUGCCAGCCGAGGUCAUCGGCGUAUCUUGUGUGCGCAAAUUAGCAAGAAAUUUAGAUUUUUUUCAACUGCGUUGUACAGUGUGCAUUUCAAACUGAACUGAGAGAUCACUUUAGGCAAAUAAUUUGGAUGAAACACUUUUUUUUUCUCAUUUUGUACUACGUUAAACUUAGGCGUGCUGUCCAUGCAUGAUGGUCAACAAUAUAAUCUCCACCACUCGUAGUGCCGAACGCUUCGGGAACGGACGAACAAGUAAAUAAAUAAAGAAAAUCCAUUUGGUCACCUUGGCGGGUAAUGAAAGACGGCUGGAAGCUGGUGACGUAAUGUUGUUAUUUCAUGCAGUAAGUCGUUCGUGUGCGAGAGCCAGACCCAACUAGGACAAGUCCAGCUCUCGGCGCCACACGUGAAGCGUCUAGUCGUUCAGCGGUAGAGCGGAGCCUGACAUCACUGUUCGCUCAGGUCUUUGACAGAAUGUGGCCGUCAGAAUUGCUCAUCUGGAGUGCCAUCGCUCUUUUUCUUUCUUCAUCUAGUGCAGUAAGAUUUUGAGGACUCGUUUAAGUGCAACACUCCGGUCCCACUUUUCCCCGCCAUAUCCGUUUGCGAAAAAUUGGUCUCCAGGGUAACUCUUCUCGCGUGUGUUUGGCGCCCAGAUUCCUUUUGAGGUGUUGAUAUGUUUCGCUUAAUAAACUUUUGAACUAAAAAGGGUCUGAA
RNAcentral lists this long non-coding RNA (1097 nucleotides) under Dermacentor andersoni. RNAcentral's name for it is "uncharacterized LOC126528397". Lineage: Eukaryota; Metazoa; Arthropoda; Arachnida; Ixodida; Ixodidae. The record is from RNAcentral.